This 431-nucleotide ribosomal RNA is filed under the name uncultured bacterium. Its description in RNAcentral is "bacterial SSU rRNA". It matches the Rfam family "Bacterial small subunit ribosomal RNA", at positions 29 to 506 of the family's 1533-position model. The record is from RNAcentral.
ACGAACGCUGGCGGCAUGCCUAACACAUGCAAGUCGAACGAGACCUUCGGGUCUAGUGGCGCACGGGUGCGUAACGCGUGGGAAUCUGCCCUUGGGUUCGGAAUAACUUCGGGAAACUGAAGCUAAUACCGGAUGAUGACGUAAGUCCAAAGAUUUAUCGCCCAAGGAUGAGCCCGCGUAGGAUUAGCUAGUUGGUGAGGUAAAGGCUCACCAAGGCGACGAUCCUUAGCUGGUCUGAGAGGAUGAUCAGCCACACUGGGACUGAGACACGGUCCAGACUCCUACGGGAGGCAGCAGUGGGGAAUAUUGGACAAUGGGCGAAAGCCUGAUCCAGCCAUGCCGCGUGAGUGAUGAAGGCCUUAGGGUUGUAAAGCUCUUUCAGUGGGGAAGAUAAUGACGGUACCCACAGAAGAAGCCCCGGCUAACUUCGU